RNAcentral lists this ribosomal RNA (363 nucleotides) under Triticum aestivum (bread wheat). RNAcentral's name for it is "partial small subunit ribosomal RNA". The record is from RNAcentral. Lineage: Eukaryota; Viridiplantae; Streptophyta; Magnoliopsida; Poales; Poaceae.
AUGGACAAGAUUCUAGGGGUGCUUCAGGGUUUUAGAGACGCCACCGGUUUGCAGCUCAACCCCGCAAAAUCCUCGGUAGCUCCCAUCUGAUGCGACGGUACUGAUCUGCUACAAGUCCUGAAUUAUGGAGGAUGGAUUGUCAGCUUCCCCAUUACAUACCUUGGCAUCCCAAUCACGCUUGGCAAGAUCAGGCUAGUGCACCACCAAUUCAUCCUAGAUAGAAUCGGAGCUAGACUAGCAGGCUGGAAGGGCCACUUGCUGCCUAUCGCGGGCCGCGAGUGCUUGUCAGGAGCGUGCUCUCAGCGCUCCCUGCGUUUGCGCUUGCCAUGCUACGCGCCCUGCAAAAAUUCUUCAAGGACAUAG